CGUGAGGAUCCGACCGUUGGAUCAUCAUUAAAUUCAGAUCCGACCGUUGGAUCAUCGUAUAAUUUCGAUCUGACCGUUGGAUCAUCAUUAAAAUUAGAAUCCGACCGUGGGUUUCCGUAUAUGUGUGCUUUUGAGUUGUUGGCUAAGUUAAGAUCAUUAUUGGAUUAGGUGAUCGAUGGAUUUAUUUGGCGGACGAUUCGUGAGAUUGUUAAUGGAGCUGUUAAGAAGACGCAGCUGGAUUAGAGCGGGUAAUCCUGCAGGUCAGGAGAAUCAGGGCGGUGAUCGUGCGGGUUAGAGUAUUUGUUAUAGUUUUACAGCAAUUGUAAUAGUGAGGUGAGUUAAGCUCAUUUGAGCCUCACAAUUUGAUUUGGUGAGAGUGUGCUGUAAUAAAUAACUUGAGAAUUUGGUUUAUUGUAUUAUUGAGAGGUGUGAAGUGUG
This is a long non-coding RNA of Rosa rugosa (rugosa rose), 438 nucleotides long. RefSeq lists it as uncharacterized. The record is from RefSeq and is a predicted model, not a curated record. The transcript has 2 exons. NCBI's taxonomy places the organism in Eukaryota, Viridiplantae, Streptophyta, Magnoliopsida, Rosales, Rosaceae.